Molecule: non-coding RNA, 193 nt
Filed under: Parvicella tangerina
Lineage: Bacteria; Pseudomonadati; Bacteroidota; Flavobacteriia; Flavobacteriales; Parvicellaceae
Source: RNAcentral
CAUUUGCACCGUAAUUACGGUUGUCAGACAGUUGUUUGACAUUAAAAGGGAAUCUAGUGAAAAUCUAGAACUAUACCCGUAGCUGUAAGCUCUUUACGCUUUGAAUUAAAACCACUGCUUCGAACCUUCGGAGCGGGAAGGGGUUCAAAGUAUGGAGUAAGUCAGAAGACCUGCCUAAUUGCCAUAGAACACG